GAAUUUUGGACAAUGGGGGCAACCCUGAUCCAGCCAUGCCGCGUGUGUGAAGAAGGCCUUUUGGUUGUAAAGCACUUUAAGCAGUGAAGAAGACUCCAUGGUUAAUACCCAUGGACGAUGACAUUAGCUGCCGCAUAAGCCACGGCUAACUUUGUGCCAGCAGCCGCGGUAAUACAGAGGGGGCAAGCGUUAAUCGGAAUGACUGGGCGUAAAGCGGGCGUAGGUGGCUUGAUAAGUCAGAUGUGAAAUCCCCGGGCUUAACCUGGGAACUGCAUCUGAUACUGUUAGGCUAGAAUAGGUGAGAGGAAGGUAGAAUUCCAGGUGUAGCGGUGAAAUGCGUAGAGAUCUGGAGGAAUACCGGUGGCGAAGGCAGCCUUCUGGCAUCAUAUUGACACUGAGGUUCGAAAGCGUGGGUAGCAAAC
This 422-nucleotide ribosomal RNA is filed under the name uncultured bacterium. Its description in RNAcentral is "bacterial SSU rRNA". It matches the Rfam family "Bacterial small subunit ribosomal RNA", at positions 359 to 773 of the family's 1533-position model. The record is from RNAcentral.